Molecule: ribosomal RNA, 117 nt
Filed under: uncultured bacterium
Lineage: Bacteria
Description: partial 16S ribosomal RNA
Rfam family: Bacterial small subunit ribosomal RNA
Source: RNAcentral
AUACGGUGAAUACGUUCCCGGACCUUGCACACACCGCCCGUCAAGCCACGGAAGCCGGGUGUACCUAAAGUCGGUAACCGUAAGGAGCCGCCUGGGGUAAAACUGGUGACUGGGGCU